This 497-nucleotide ribosomal RNA is filed under the name uncultured bacterium. RNAcentral's name for it is "partial 16S ribosomal RNA". It matches the Rfam family "Bacterial small subunit ribosomal RNA", at positions 28 to 507 of the family's 1533-position model. The record is from RNAcentral.
GAUGAACGCUGGCGGCGUGCCUAAUACAUGCAAGUCGAGCGAACAGACGAGGAGCUUGCUCCUCUGACGUUAGCGGCGGACGGGUGAGUAACACGUGGAUAACCUACCUAUAAGACUGGGAUAACUUCGGGAAACCGGAGCUAAUACCGGAUAAUAUAUUGAACCGCAUGGUUCAAUAGUGAAAGACGGUUUUGCUGUCACUUAUAGAUGGAUCCGCGUCGCAUUAGCUAGUUGGUAAGGUAACGGCUUACCAAGGCAACGAUGCGUAGCCGACCUGAGAGGGUGAUCGGCCACACUGGAACUGAGACACGGUCCAGACUCCUACGGGAGGCAGCAGUAGGGAAUAUUCGACAAUGGGCGAAAGCCUGACGGAGCAACGCCGCGUGAGUGAUGAAGGUCUUCGGAUAGUAAAACUCUGUUAUUAGGGAAGAACAAAAGUAUAAGAAACUAUGCACGCCUUGACGGUACCGAAUCAGUAAGCCACGGCUAACUACGUG